Molecule: long non-coding RNA, 1416 nt
Filed under: Marmota monax (woodchuck)
Lineage: Eukaryota; Metazoa; Chordata; Mammalia; Rodentia; Sciuridae
Source: RNAcentral
UUAAAGGAAAUGCUAAACGUCAGUAAGAGGUUAGUGAAAAUAAAGAUGCAAUUGUUUUCUUAAGUUUGGACUCUUAAAUUCACAGAUAUCCUGGAUUCCUGUAGAGGUGAGCCUAGCUUUCUUCCCACAGGAUUUCUUAGAGAAACAUUUAUAUGGUUGUCCUUAGUGGUUUGCAUUUCUUCUUGUGAUUUGUUUGUUUUUUAGUACUUAAGAGUGAACCUAGGGGCACACUAUACUGAGCUGCAUCCCUAACCCUCUUUUGUUUUUUUAUUUUGAGACAGGGUCUUAUUAAAUCACCCAGAUUGGCUUCUAAUUUGCCAUCCUCCUGCCUCAGCCUCCUCAAUAGCUGGGAUCACAGGCGUCUGCUACUGGGCCUGGCUCUUAGUUCUUUGAAUUUCCCAGUUACUUUGAUUUAUCUUGCUCAUUCUCUGCUGUCUCAAACUUCCUUCCUUGAUCUUAGUAGCCCCUUUCCUUGACUUUUAAAACAGUCAUUUACUUUUCUUGGUUGUAUCAACUCAAAAAAAAAUUGAAGAAACACCUUUAAAAUACCUGCAGAUAUGGGUGCCAGUGAGGUGGAGUCCAUAUGCACGUUAGAUAAUCUCUAUGUGACAAGGUGCCAGGUUGAAUCUGUGCACAUCUCACUCACCCUCCUGGGCUCCUCAGCUCUGCAUUGUGCUUUGUCAUUGCAGAGGGUUGGACUCUGGUACCCCUCCCCUGUGAAACCAGGAAAUGGCCCAAUAUUUUUGCCAGUGUAGCCCCUAAAAGAAUUUUGAAGAAGUAUGUGUCUCUUUAUACAUUUUAGGUAAAUAGCUUAAUUUUUUCUUGUGUGUUUGAAUUAUUUCAAAAGAUGUCUUUUCCCACAUGUUAUAUAUUGCUUCCCACCUUUAAAUGCAAAUUUUGGUAAAAACUUAGACCCUCAUUAUGGAGAACAAUAUGGAGUUUCCUCAAAAAUCUAAAAAUAGAUCUACUGUGUGAUCCAGCCAUCUCACUGCUGGGUAUAUAUCCAAGGGAAAUGAAAUCAGCAUAUCAAAAAGAUACUUCCAUGCCUAUUUUUAUUGCAGCAUUAUUCACAAUAACUAAGAUAUGGAAAUCCUAGUUGCCCAUCAACAAAUGAAUGAAUAAAGACAAUGUGGAAUAUAUACACAACGGAAUAUUAUUUACCUAUAAAAAGGGAAUUUCUGUUAUUUGCAGAAAAAUGGGUGGAACCAAAGGACAUUAUGAUAAGUAAGAUAAGACAGACACUCAAAGACAAGUACUGCAAGUUCUUGAUCAUAUAUAGAUCCUUUUUAAAAAAAGAGAUCCAAAUGCAGAAUAACGAUUACAAGAUAUUAGAAAGGGUGUGGGGGAAGGGGAGAAUAGAUAAAGUGAGACUGGAUAUGAUUAGUGCAUAUUGUAUGUUUAUGUGUUGAAUGCCAC